Molecule: ribosomal RNA, 301 nt
Filed under: uncultured bacterium
Lineage: Bacteria
Description: partial 16S ribosomal RNA
Rfam family: Bacterial small subunit ribosomal RNA
Source: RNAcentral
CAGCCGCCGCGGUAAUACGUAGGGUGCGAGCGUUAAUCGGAAUUACUGGGCGUAAAGGACGCGUAGGCGGAUUAUCAAGUCUCUUGUGAAAUCUAACGGCUUAACCGUUAAACUGCUUGGGAAACUGAUAAUCUAGAGUAAGGGAGAGGCAGAUGGAAUUCUUGGUGUAGCGGUGAAAUGCGUAGAUAUCAAGAAGAAUACCUAUUGCGAAGGCGAUCUGCUGGAACUUAACUGACGCUAAUGCGUGAAAGCGUGGGGAGCAAACAGGAUUAGAUACCCCCGUAGUCCCUGUCUCUUAUAC